CCUACGGGAGGCAGCAGUGGGGAAUAUUGGACAAUGGGCGAAAGCCUGAUCCAGCAAUGCCGCGUGAGUGAAGAAGGCCUUCGGGUUGUAAAGCUCUUUUACCCGGGAAGAUAAUGACUGUACCGGGAGAAUAAGCCCG
RNAcentral lists this ribosomal RNA (139 nucleotides) under uncultured bacterium WB4.8. RNAcentral's name for it is "partial 16S ribosomal RNA". It matches the Rfam family "Bacterial small subunit ribosomal RNA", at positions 338 to 494 of the family's 1533-position model. The record is from RNAcentral.